This 467-nucleotide ribosomal RNA is filed under the name uncultured bacterium. RNAcentral's name for it is "partial 16S ribosomal RNA". It matches the Rfam family "Bacterial small subunit ribosomal RNA", at positions 29 to 507 of the family's 1533-position model. The record is from RNAcentral.
ACGCACGCUGGCGGCGUGCUUAACACAUGCCAGUCGAACGGAAAGGCCCUGCUUUUGUGGGGUGCUCGAGUGGCGAACGGGUGAGUAACACGUGAGUAACCUGCCCUUGACUUUGGGAUAACUUCAGGAAACUGGGGCUAAUACCGGAUAGGAGCUCCUGCUGCAUGGUGGGGGUUGGAAAGUUUCGGCGGUUGGGGAUGGACUCGCGGCUUAUCAGCUUGUUGGUGGGGUAGUGGCUUACCAAGGCUUUGACGGGUAGCCGGCCUGAGAGGGUGACCGGCCACAUUGGGACUGAGAUACGGCCCAGACGCCUACGGGAGGCAGCAGUGGGGAAUAUUGCACAAUGGGCGGAAGCCUGAUGCAGCAACGCCGCGUGCGGGAUGACGGCCUUCGGGUUGUAAACCGCUUUCGCCUGUGACGAAGCGUGAGUGACGGUAAUGGGUAAAGAAGCACCGGCUAACUACGUG